Molecule: long non-coding RNA, 443 nt
Organism: Hyaena hyaena (striped hyena)
Lineage: Eukaryota; Metazoa; Chordata; Mammalia; Carnivora; Hyaenidae
Exons: 2
Source: RefSeq, a predicted model, not a curated record
CCCAUCCCACAGAGGUGUUUCAAGGGAUGAAGAGAGAGUUUAGGCACUGGACACAGAUUGGUAUAUAAUGGGUACCUGAUAAACAAUAGCUACAUUGACAGAGCCAAAACCUGGAAACAGCUGAGACAUCCAUCAGUGAGAGCACGGACGAUCAAACCGGGGUGCAGCCAUGCAAUGGGAUACUCCUCAGCCAGCAGUGAGAGGGAACAAGCUGCUUAUCCAAGAUUGUGGACCAACCUCACAAGCACGUUGAGUGAAAGCAGCCAGACUCAAGAGAGUACACACUUUUUGCCUCCGUUUACAUGAAGUUCAAGAACAACUAAAACCAAUCUAUGGCGAGGGAAGUCAGAAUAGUGGCUACCAACUGGGGACGGUCUUGACAGGAAGCAAAUCCGAAGGAACCUCCUCGGGUGAUGGGAAUUCAUUAUAUCCUGGUCUGGGUG